AGCCUUGCGCAGUGGCAGUAUCAUAGCCAAUGAGGUUUAUUCGAGGCAGAUUAUUGCUAAUUGAAAAUGAAAACACAACUCUUCAAAACCUUGGGAUACAGCAGAGGUGG
This 110-nucleotide small nuclear RNA is filed under the name Vulpes vulpes (red fox). Its description in RNAcentral is "U4 spliceosomal RNA (ENSVVUG00000001312.1)". It matches the Rfam family "U4 spliceosomal RNA". From Rfam's summary of the family: U4 small nuclear RNA (U4 snRNA) is a component of the major U2-dependent spliceosome. Lineage: Eukaryota; Metazoa; Chordata; Mammalia; Carnivora; Canidae. The record is from Rfam by way of RNAcentral.